Molecule: ribosomal RNA, 460 nt
Filed under: uncultured bacterium
Lineage: Bacteria
Description: partial 16S ribosomal RNA
Rfam family: Bacterial small subunit ribosomal RNA
Source: RNAcentral
CCUACGGGGGGCAGCAGUGAGGUAUAUUGGUCAAUGGACGAGAGUCUGAACCAGCGAAGUAGCGUGAAGGAUGACUGCCCUAUGGGUUGUAAACUUCUUUUAUAUGGGAAUAAAACGUUCCACGUGUGGGAUUUUGUAUGUACCAUAUGAAUAAGGAUCGGCUAACUCCGUGCCAGCAGCCGCGGUAAUACGGAGGAUCCGAGCGUUAUCCGGAUUUAUUGGGUUUAAAGGGAGCGUAGGUGGAUUGGUAAGUCAGUUGUGAAAGUUUGCGGCUCAACCGUAAAAUUGCAGUUGAAACUGGCAGUCUUGAGUACAGUAGAGGUGGGCGGAAUUCGUGGUGUAGCGGUGAAAUGCUUAGAUAUCACGAAGAACUCCGAUUGCGAAGGCAGUUCACUGGACUGCAACUGACACUGAGGCUCGAAAGUGUGGGUAUCAAACAGGAUUAGAUACCCCAGUAGUC